GUCCCCGUAGCUCAGCUGGAUAGAGCGCCGGUUUCCUAAACCGUAGGUCGGAGGUUCAAAUCCUCUCGGGGACG
This 74-nucleotide transfer RNA is filed under the name candidate division WOR-1 bacterium RIFOXYA12_FULL_43_27. RNAcentral describes it as "tRNA-Arg". It matches the Rfam family "tRNA". Rfam says of the family: Transfer RNA (tRNA) molecules are approximately 80 nucleotides in length. Lineage: Bacteria; Bacillati. The record is from RNAcentral. RNAcentral also lists the same sequence under 3 other names.